CGGAGACCGGGUUGUGCAGCGCGACGUGCUGACGGGAGGGCGGCGGGAACCUGCAGACCGCGGAGGAGCGGGGUUUCAGCCGGAAAUCCUUUUGUGCAAUUGCUCAUUUACACUUGUUCAUCAAGGCCUUUGAGUCCUCAAGGGCAGAAUUUACCUGUAAACAGAAAGAUGGAAACUAAAGAACAUUUAUUCUGCCAGGCAGAAGAAAAUACUGAUUUAACAGAUGAUGGCUGUAAUUGUUUUGCAACCAACUUGCCAUUGAGACAUAGUGACAGCACAAAAUGCAUCAAGUUUUCUAAAAUGACAGAGAAGAGAAUUUCACCUGAAAUUAGGGGUUUGAUCCCAGAACACACA
This is a long non-coding RNA of Hipposideros armiger (great roundleaf bat), 354 nucleotides long. RefSeq lists it as uncharacterized. The record is from RefSeq and is a predicted model, not a curated record. The transcript has 3 exons. Lineage: Eukaryota; Metazoa; Chordata; Mammalia; Chiroptera; Hipposideridae.